UUAAAUGAUGAAAUUAUGAUUCUACAGACCUGUUCUGACCUCCUUUUUUGAGGAAUGCAGAUACUAUUCAUUGCCUUUUUUUUCUGACU
Molecule: small nucleolar RNA, 89 nt
Filed under: Maudiozyma saulgeensis
Lineage: Eukaryota; Fungi; Ascomycota; Saccharomycetes; Saccharomycetales; Saccharomycetaceae
Description: Kazachstania saulgeensis Small nucleolar RNA snR56
Rfam family: Small nucleolar RNA snR56
Source: Rfam by way of RNAcentral